This is a long non-coding RNA of Cimex lectularius (bed bug), 950 nucleotides long. RefSeq lists it as uncharacterized. The transcript is spliced from 2 exons. The record is from RefSeq and is a predicted model, not a curated record. Lineage: Eukaryota; Metazoa; Arthropoda; Insecta; Hemiptera; Cimicidae.
UAAAUCAUUCAAUUGUUCAUACAAAUUAUUUUAAUUUCCUCCCACAAAUUAACAUAUUUAUUAAAAGAAGUUAAUCGGGAAGAAUGUUUACAUCUUAAUAGUUUGGUUAUUUCUGAUUGUUUUCAUCUGCCUACACUCAUUUUCAAAACAGGGAAAAUAGGCAGACCAAAAUUAUUGAAAACAACCAAACUAUAGGUCUUUUUCUGUUCAGAGGACAUCGCACAAUGAAAUUUUUUCUCAAAAAUUGUAUACAUUCUUCAUUAAACACUUAUUAAAUGUCCAGUUCAGAAUUAAUUUUGAAUUAAAAUAUUUGAAAGUGUAUUAUUAAAUGCAAUAAUUGUAAUUAUUGAUACAACGUAUCAUUCUGUUAAUCCUGUUAAGAUAAUUUCUUACUGUGAGGUAGGAGGGGGAGUUUAUCACUUAUUGACCAAACUAUUUAUAUGCUGCAGAUGUGUCCUCAAGAAUUUUAAAAUGGGAUGUCUCCAAAAUCAUUUUUUAAAGGGUUUUAUCAAUAUCCAUCAAAUGAAAAUUACAAUUUUUUUGCCGAUCUUGCAUUUGAGGUUUGCAAUAUUGUGUUACAAUUUGAUAUUUCUCUUGGUGAAUGCUUGAAAAACAGUUCGUUUUAAUAAUAUAUUUAGAGAAAUUUUCAGUUAUUUGUGUUUGUGGAUGAUUGAUAACAUGACAGUGGUGUGAACUGGUAAAUCCUUGUUCAAUGACGAACAUGAUUUUUCCCCUGAGUUUUAACAGCUUCAAAACGCCUUCAUUCGAACGGUGUAGACUUACUUUCCAAGUGCUUGCUGGACUUGAGAUAUUAUUCAGCAAACAAAAAAACAAAAAAAAAAGCGCUAGCCUAUUGUUGAACACUGUCGACACUGCUUUAACAAAAAGAAUAUAUCAAUAAAUCUGAAUGGAACAUGUAAUGAAUAUAAAUAAAAACCAAUUUAUGAGUG